UGUGUAGCACUUAUCGAUAUAUAAUAUGAUCAAAAUCGACCCGUCCACAUCCCUAAAAAUCCACACAUACACAUUUUUACGCACAUAUACAAAGCAGUAUAACCACCAAAAUGGCUACGGCUUGAGUAUUCAAAUUUGUAUUGAGAAAAGGCAACUAUAUCCUGUCUUUAUUUGCCUCUCUAUCGCUCGAAUAUGCAAUACGCAUGCACUCUUCGUCAAAAUCGGUUUCAAACUUUUUCGACUGAGUACGCGCAAUAAACGCCUAGUAGUAGUAUUUAAAUGUUUACCGUAUUCAUUUAAAGCAUCGUAGGACAAUGCCGCUAUGUAAACUGUAAGGUGGGUCUUAAAUUAGUGUGAGUUAUUUUGGCACCGGACUCAACCUUCACGUUACAAUAUUUAAAGUAUUGCGCUGUCAUAGUAACGAAAAUGAUAAACACGUCAAUCGGAGUAAACAAGUAACUAAAUGAUGCAAACAAGAAAAUAUUGCAAAAUAGGUACAUAUAUAUGUACCGAUAAUUAUUUUGUGUUAAAAAUAUGAGGCAAAUUAUACUGCCCGAUUAUACGGACUACAUAUUAAAAACGAUUAUCUUGGAAACAGUCAAUAGAUGUCGAACCACCAGCAAAGUUUUUGAAGAGGUGUACCUAGUUCCUGGUACCAACUGGAAACUGAAACUAAUAAUCUACACUCAAGAAAAUGAAAUAUAGUCACAGAAAACUUUAAUGUUUUAUUUUAUUAAAGAAAAACGUUAGAAAAAUGUGUAAACAGAAA
Long non-coding RNA from Cydia pomonella (codling moth), 769 nucleotides. RefSeq lists it as uncharacterized. The transcript has 2 exons. The record is from RefSeq and is a predicted model, not a curated record. NCBI's taxonomy places the organism in Eukaryota, Metazoa, Arthropoda, Insecta, Lepidoptera, Tortricidae.